This 443-nucleotide ribosomal RNA is filed under the name uncultured bacterium. Its description in RNAcentral is "partial 16S ribosomal RNA". It matches the Rfam family "Bacterial small subunit ribosomal RNA", at positions 338 to 795 of the family's 1533-position model. The record is from RNAcentral.
CCUACGGGGGGCAGCAGUGGGGAAUAUUGGGCAAUGGGCGCAAGCCUGACCCAGCAACGCCGCGUGAAGGAAGAAGGCUUUCGGGUUGUACACUUCUUUUCUGAGGGACGAAGAAAGUGACGGUACCUCAGUACUAAGCCACGGCUAACUACGUGCCAGCAGCCGCGGUAAUACGUAGGUGGCAAGCGUUAUCCGGAUUUAUUGGGGGUAAAGGGCGUGUAGGCGGGAAAGGAAGUAAGUGGUGAAAACUCAGUGCUCAACCCUGAGCCUGCAUUUGAAACUGUUUUUCUUGAGUGCUGGAGAGGAAAUCGGAAUUCCAUGUGUAGCGGUGAAAUGCGUAGAUAUACGGAGGAACACCAGUGGCGAAGGCGGAUUGCUGGACAGUAACUGACGCUGAGGCGCGAAAGCGUGGGGAGCAAACAGGAUUAGAUACCCUUGUAGUC